ACUCCCCUUAUUUGUAAGUCGCUCUGGAUAAGAGCGUCUGCUAAAUGACUUAAA
Salmo salar (Atlantic salmon) is the source of this 54-nucleotide non-coding RNA. The record is from Rfam. NCBI's taxonomy places the organism in Eukaryota, Metazoa, Chordata, Actinopteri, Salmoniformes, Salmonidae.